GAUGAACGCUGGCGGCGUGCCUAACACAUGCAAGUCGAACGAAACACUUUAGCUUGAUUCUUCGGAUGAAGGCUAUUGUGACUGAGUGGCGGACGGGUGAGUAACGCGUGGGUAACCUGCCUCAUACAGGGGGAUAACAGUUAGAAAUGACUGCUAAUACCGCAUAAGACCACGGAGUCGCAUGGCCCAGUGGGAAAAACUCCGGUGGUAUGAGAUGGACCCGCGUCUGAUUAGGUAGUUGGUGGGGUAACGGCCUACCAAGCCGACGAUCAGUAGCCGACCUGAGAGGGUGACCGGCCACAUUGGGACCGAGACACGGCCCAAACUCCUACGGGAGGCAGCAGUGGGGAAUAUUGCACAAUGGGGGAAACCCUGAUGCAGCGACGCCGCGUGAGCGAAGAAGUAUUUCGGUAUGUAAAGCUCUAUCAGCAGGGAAGAAAAUGACGGUACCUGACUAAGAAGCACCGGCUAAAUACGUGCCAGCAGCCGCCGUAA
RNAcentral lists this ribosomal RNA (495 nucleotides) under uncultured bacterium. RNAcentral's name for it is "partial 16S ribosomal RNA". It matches the Rfam family "Bacterial small subunit ribosomal RNA", at positions 28 to 523 of the family's 1533-position model. The record is from RNAcentral.